GAUGAACGCUAGCGGCAGGCCUAACACAUGCAAGUCGAGGGGGAGGUUACUUUCGGGUAACUGAGACCGGCGUACGGGUGCGUAACGCGUAUACAAUCUGCCUUUCACUGGGGGAUAGCCCGAAGAAAUUUGGAUUAAUACCCCAUAGUAUAGUAAUACGGCAUCGUGAUGCUAUUAAAGCUUAGGUGGUGAAAGAUGAGUAUGCGUUCUAUUAGCUAGUUGGAGAGGUAACGGCUCCCCAAGGCGAUGAUAGAUGGGGGUUCUGAGAGGGAUGUCCCCCACACUGGUACUGAGAUACGGACCAGACUCCUACGGGAGGCAGCAGUGAGGAAUAUUGGACAAUGGUCGGAAGACUGAUCCAGCCAUGCCGCGUGCAGGAUGAAGGUCUUAUGGAUUGUAAACUGCUUUUGUAAGGGAAGAAUAAGGGCUACGCGUAGUUUGAUGACGGUACCUUACGAAUAAGCAUCGGCUAACUCCGUG
Molecule: ribosomal RNA, 480 nt
Filed under: uncultured bacterium
Lineage: Bacteria
Description: partial 16S ribosomal RNA
Rfam family: Bacterial small subunit ribosomal RNA
Source: RNAcentral